GGAGAGAUGGCAGAGCGGUUUAAUGCACCGGUCUUGAAAACCGGCAUACCCGCAAGGGUAUCCAGGGUUCGAAUCCCUGUCUCUCCG
This 87-nucleotide transfer RNA is filed under the name Planctopirus limnophila DSM 3776. RNAcentral describes it as "tRNA-Ser (TGA) (tRNA-Ser-TGA-1-1)". It matches the Rfam family "tRNA". Rfam says of the family: Transfer RNA (tRNA) molecules are approximately 80 nucleotides in length. Their secondary structure includes four short double-helical elements and three loops (D, anti-codon, and T loops). Lineage: Bacteria; Pseudomonadati; Planctomycetota; Planctomycetia; Planctomycetales; Planctomycetaceae. RNAcentral also lists the same sequence under 3 other names. The record is from Rfam by way of RNAcentral.